This 491-nucleotide long non-coding RNA is filed under the name Manihot esculenta (cassava). RNAcentral describes it as "long non-coding RNA (MESC_LNC005270)". Lineage: Eukaryota; Viridiplantae; Streptophyta; Magnoliopsida; Malpighiales; Euphorbiaceae. The record is from RNAcentral.
ACUUCCUGUGAUAACGAUAUCAUCCACAUAUACUACAAGCAGAAUUACUCCACUAUCAGAAUUUAUAUAAAACACUGAGUGAUCACACUUACUCAUCUUCAUUCCAAACUGUUGGACCACCUCACUAAACCUGCUAAACCAUGCCCGAGGACUCUGUUUCAAGCCAUAAAGCGAUUUUUGAAGUCUACAAACUUUACCUGACUCCCCCUGAGCAACAAAACCAGGUGGUUGCUCAAUAUAAACCUCCUCCUGAAGAUCACCAUGAAGAAAAGCAUUUUUAAUAUCCAGUUGAUGCAAAGGCCAAUAAUGAGUAGCCGCCAAGGAAAUAAACAAUCGGACAGAUGUGAGCUUGGCAACUGGGGAGAAUGUAUCAGAAUAGUCAACUCCAUAAGUUUGUGCAUAACCUUUGGCCACUAAACGGGCCUUGAGGCGAGCAAUAGAUCCAUCAGGAUUUACUUUCACUGCAAACACCCAUUUGCACCCAAUAGCCC